RNAcentral lists this long non-coding RNA (10746 nucleotides) under Homo sapiens (human). RNAcentral's name for it is "non-protein coding FOXG1-AS1:6". Lineage: Eukaryota; Metazoa; Chordata; Mammalia; Primates; Hominidae. The record is from RNAcentral.
GAGGCCGCGCGGAGCCGCGUAGGGAUACGCCGGCGGGAGCACGCGGUGCCGCAGCCCUUCCCUGCGCCCCCGCCACCCCCUCCACCCCGCCGGCUCCGCUCCACCGAAAUUCCCCUCCUAGGGCCAAUAGCUCACAUUUCCGGCUUCCUCCUCAUUGUACUGGGUCAUUUUCGUUUAAGCGUCAAUAUUUGUCCUUAGUGAUUAAAGUUUGUAUCCAAUUUUAUUUUUGAAAGCGGGGGUGGUGGUGGUAGUGGGAAGAGUGGGAGUGCAGGGAGAGGAUGCGAGAGGGCAGGAAAUGGAGGAGGUAGAGGCGAGGCACUACUUUUCCGAGUCGGCCUUGCAGGCCAGUGUCUGGCAUUUCUGAGCCAGCAGGAAAAUUGUGCCCUUUGUAGGUAAUAGUCUAGCGCAGCUUUGGAUAAGGGGGGAGAUAAGGCCCACCGCUGGCGUGUGUGCGGGGGUGUCCUUUACUUCGGGGGAGGAGGGUGUGGGAGAGCUUUGGGAGCGAUGAGAUGAGGAGGAGGAAGUGGGCAGAGGAGCGCGGGGCCAAACAGGGGUUACUUACUCGAUUCCUGAGGCCUGGGCGGCGGCGAGCUCCGGGCUCCGGCACCGCGGGGAAACCGGGACUGGGGCUCCGGGUGCUGCUGCGGCGGCCGGGGCCGCUCAGUAGUGGGCGCCUCUGAUGGCCUUCCGAAAUGAGAGGUGCCCAGAGAGAAAACAGUACCAAACAAUCUCGAAAUAAAUCAGGUAACACAUGCUAUAUACGUGUGUCUCUUCCUUUUCCUUCUCUCCUGCUCCAGAGCGUCGCUCACGCGCGGGGUGACUCGAUGUCGUUUUCUCCUCGCCGCUCCAGCCUCAGCUUCUAAUCCGAAUUGGAAGCGGGUAGCUGCGAGCGAUCACCCUGGAAAUAUUUUCGUUUUGCUUGUUGACAUUGGAGGGAAAAUAAGGGUGGGCGUCUAUUUCUUUCCGGUUUUUUUUUUAAGCCUUCCUAUUUUCACUCCUUUUUUUUCCUUUCCGUUUCUCAAAUGCUUUUAUUUUGUGCGGGCCUCAUUCCUGAAAUAACAGUAUACUGAAGCCAGCUCUUGCCAACCCUGAGUGCUGCUGGAAAGCACCGGGGAGCCUUGGGAACGUGGAUCUCACAGUCCCAGCUUCUUGGGCUUUGGAACUGGGAAGGUUCGGUUGGAGGUUGAAGUGAAUGGGGAAAUUGCGAAUCGGGGGCUUUAAAAGGAUCCCGUGGCCAGGGGCAGGGCUAAGGCCCAGCAUUUCCCAGGGAUUGGAAUUUAGUGGGGAGCACAUUGAUCAAAGGCUGUUUCAUCCCACAUGGGCACGAAACAUACCACAUUUUACGGAGGAUGUAGCCCCAGAGAAGAGGGAGGUGGAGAAGCAUAAAUGAAAGGCACCUUUUCCUUCCUCUAGAAGGUAAAUAAUUAUAAAAUGUAAGCAUUUCUUCACUUGGAUAAACUUUCAUUAAGAUAUCUGGCAGAUUUGGUAUUUAAGAAAACGAAGGAAGGAAAAUUGGUGCUUAUGCUUGAUCCUAAAGUUAAAUUGUAACAUAAAGAAUGCGGUUGAUGAAUACUCAGGAUAAUAGGGGGUUAUUCCAUCCUCCCCACCCCCAGUCUUAAGAAAGAGAAAGAGAGAAAAGGUUGGGGGGGGGGGAGGAAACUGGAGAGAAUAAUAGAUAAUUACAAAUAGCUAGUGAAUUUUAAAUAUGCAUCUAUUAGGAAUGCCACAAAGGAGCUUUGAAUAUUGGACUAACCUCAAAUGUCCUUCCACUGUAUGUAUGUAUCUUUACCUAUGUCUACAUAUCUUCUCACUUUAAAACAAACUGUAUUUACAUGUGGAAAAAUUCAAGGGUUCCAACAAUCAGUGUUGAUAGUGACAUGGUCCCAAACAUUUAUUUCCAAGCUCUGGAUUUCUCGCAGGGCCGGGUGAGCUAAUGGGCUUUGCCUACCGGCUGGAGAGAUUUGUGGGCCUUCCCCUUCCUACUCACUUUUCCUCCUCCCACUCUUCUCCCCUCUUCAGGCCCGUUCUUCCUACUUUUCCUCAACUCUCCUUCCUCCCUCCUCCCUCCUUCUCCCUUAGCUCCCCCCGCCCCUUCCCCCCACCCUCCAUUCCUCUGUCUCUCCAUUCCUCCACCUACUCCUCCCAAUUUCUCCUCUUACAGCCCCCCUUCUCACCACCACUUAUAAUGGCACACAGGGCUCCCUCUGAGGUGGACGGCCCGGUACGUUUUCGUAGUCGGUCUAGCGUGAAAUGAUUCGGUGUAACCGGAUUCUUGGGAAAGGACAGGUUACGUAAACAUUUACUGAUGUGGAGUAACUAUACUAUUUGUACUCUGAUAUGCAGGAAGGAAAGUGUUGAUUAACACAGAAGAAAAAAAAAACGAAAUUAGCUGAUUGCAUGCUCAUAAGUGCAAGCUGUCAUUGAACUGCUUUUAAAAUAGACACAGCUGGGUGUUUGUGUUGAAAAAUUUCUUGUGUUUUUGCUAAUACUGAAAUAAGCAUGAUUUUGUAUACCAAACAUUUUCAGAUCAUUAAAAUUUGUAAUCUGUGCUGGUUUUAAACACAAAGAAAAGAAACAGAAUCAUUUCGAUGUAAAAUUUGCUGAUAUUAUAUUAACUCAAUCAGGUCUGUACAAAUUGUGCAUUGUGCCUCCUAAAAUCUGUUUGAUCAAUUUAAUACACAAAGUGCCAAACGUGGGUAUUGUUUGUUAACAUUGGACAUUUUAUUCAAAUCCGAGCUCAGCAGCAAACUGGAGGAGCUUUCCUUCAAUACAACACCAGCUCUGACUGAUGAAUUUUUAAUGUUUUAAGGUGUUUCUUAGGUCAAAUCUGAGCGUGCAUUGUUUUGUAAUCCUGUAUAAAAUUUUAGCAGGUGGAAAUAAGUUUUUCUUCUGUUUACUUUCAAAUAGCAAAAACUGGGGUUUGCUAAUGAGCACUGUAAUAAUCUGAUUUUAUAUGCUAGGAGCUCAUAUUGACUGGGAAAAUGUUUUUCAUUCAAAUUAAGGCUAUGUUAUAUAGUUUAAGGAUUGCAUGAAUGCAAGUCUCUCAAAAUAGGAUAUUCUUAUGGGCAUAAAUAGUAUAUAGUUUAAUGUAAUAUUUAAAAAUCUAUUCUUCCUAAUGACAAAAGUUAUUUGUAAUCUGGCAAGAAGUGAGUUUUAAUUCCUUUUAAUAAUUUCAAUUGCACUUUAUGUCGAGAUGGUGAUAUAUAUAUAUACUCACACACAUAUAUAUGUGUGUGUGUGUAUAUAUGUAUAUAUAUAUAGCUUGUUCAACAAAACAUGCACUGUUUACUCAGCACCCCGUGUUUGUCUCAGCAAUAGCUUUUUUAAAGAACUGCUACUAUUUGAAAUGGAGGGGGAGGGGGGUCCUGGACAGAGUAUUGUGCAAGUUGAAAGUCUCUGGAUGGGGCUUUGUAUAUCCUACCAGCCAAUUUGGGUGCAAAUUGGAUUUGAAGGCCUGCCUCUGUCCACCUCGGGCCUCUUCCCUAAGCACUGGAAGCCCAAUCUUCAGCCCCACUCAGUCACCGUGAUUACCUUCAGAAGACAGAGGGAAUUCAGUUGUCUCAGACCUGAAACAAAUUCUCUAUCAUUCUAAUUUUUUUCUCAUGAUGGAUCUAACCUUGAUCUCUCACACAGACAUCUACAAAUGUGUACUAUUAAUGAAUAAAAGCAGAAGUCAAAGUAAAUGUAAUUUUCUGGUAUAUAUCACAGUAAACUUCUCUCUUGCUCUGUCUGCAGUCCCCCAGCUCUCCCAAAGAGGUCAGGCCCCGUAAAGAGUGAGCAGUUCCAAUGGAAGAAUUGGUUAGGAAAUGAAUUAGAUUAUUCCUUCUGGAGUUUUAAUUAAUAACCAAGGCUACACAGCAUACUUCAUCCGAGUAGGGAGCAGAACAUUUCAUUUUUCCAUUUGGCGGUGUUAUUUAAGUAUUCUUUAGGGCCUCUUUCCUGUUUUCAGUCAGUGAUCCGCCUCUUUUCUUCUUGCUAGCUGCUGGUUAAAGGAAGGUGGGCCCCAUUUACCUAAAAUCCACUCUGCUCUCCAUUCCCUGGACAGGGUGUCCUUGGAGUGGCACCCAGCGCCAAGCUCUAGCUAAAGUUCUCUUCCUGCAGAUGCACAGAGAAUUUCUGACCUUGUGACGUUUGGGAGUGAGGAGAUCCCAUACAGAGGCAUCCAGGUAUUUCCAGAGAUCCUGUGGCAGGUGAGGUCUGCCCUCGCUGGAGCCAACUCGUCUAUAAUAUCUUCCUAACAGCAGAACCUGGGUCUCACUCUGUCCCCUAGGCUGGAAUGCAGUGGUGUGAUCAUGGCCCACUGCAGCCUUGAACUCCUGGACCCAAGCAAUCCUCCCAUCUCAGCCUCCCAAGUAGCUGGAACUACAGGUACGGGAAAACUGGCUUAGAGAUGUUAAAUAUCCUGGAUUAUUGUCAGUUUAACAAAAUAAUUUCGGCUAUCAAAGAUCAAGUGGGAUAAAUUUCAGAGGAAGAAACUGAGCUCCUUGCAUACCAUAGAGGAGAGGUCGAGGUCCUUCCACUGAAGCACCAAGUGGGGUAUAUAAAGCCACACUGCCCAUGAGGGCUGUGGUGUGAGUCUGCUAGCCGUGAGAGACAGAUGCAUUACAAAGGGAUGGAUUUAGUGCACUCUUUCCUCUCUUACUCACAGCCUGAACAGCCAGUGAACAAUGAAACAAAACUUCUUCCCAAGCCUCAAUGAGGAUUGUGCCAUAGUUUGAAGAUGAAGUCUUGCUCUGUUGCCCAGUCUGGAGUGCAGUGGUACGAUCAUAACUCACUGAAGUCUCAAACUUCUGGGCUCAACCAAUCCUCCCGCUUAACCUCCCAAGUAGCUGGGACGACAGGUGCAUGCCACUACGCAUUGCUAUUAAAAAAAAAAUUGUAGAGAUGGGGUCUUACUAUGUUGCCCAGGCUAGUCUUGAACUCCUGGCCUCAAGCAAUUUUUCCAUCUUGGCCUCUGAAACGCUGGGAUUACAGGUGUGAGACACCACAAGGCCUGAUUUUUUUUUUUUUUUUUUUUUUUUUUACUGGAAAUUGGAUUACAAUCCUUCUGAGUACAAUAUAAAAUACAUUGCUUGUUGUUGAAUAAUUUUAGGAAUGGAGUAGCAUCAUAUGGAGCUUCCAACAUUCUUAUUUUGAUUUUGUAGUUUUUUAAUAAACACAGAAGACUUAACUGUUUUGAAUGAAUUUACCCAUUGCAAGCAAUUAACAUCCAAUCACUUUACUUAAAAUAAUCAAACCAUUUGUGUAUAUAUAUACAGGAUAUAUUUCUACUGUUUACUGUCUCAAAGCAUUUUAACAAGCUAUUGUGCUGGCAGAGUUAAUUAGAUCUGAAAACUGGUAUAAUAAAAACAAUAAAAAACUGUAAGAAUGCAUUAAAAUAGAACACCAAAAUAAUAGAACCUAAGGUUUCUAAAGUUGUAUUUGACAAGUCAAAUGUUCCUUAAUAACUGGAUGCAUCAGAAUACAUUGUUCAUUAUAAUAUUAAAGGCAUGUAAUGAAAUGAAAAUUGAAGCAAUAGAGAAUUCAGUAUGCACAAUUAUUUUAAAUUUAAAAUCUUACCCAUAAUGAACAUAGCUAAAAACAUAAAAGACAAAUGAUAGAGAAAUUAAAAGCAAUUAUCAAAGGAAUUCUCAGCAGAAAUUUCUGAUUUAAAUUAAAGCCUAUGAUUAAAAAUCUCCUGCCUCUUUGUCCCUCUCGCCUCUUCCCACAAUUCCUUACUGCCUCAGCACCUUGUAACUUACAUUUCUUUUCUUUAAAGACAAUCAUACUAUGCUUGAUCUAUGUGGCAGGAAUGAACAUAUCAACUUCACUUUUCAUCAACUUCACAUCUUUCUGGAUCCUGUCUCUGUAAGCCCUAAUGCUUAACUUGUGAAAGAACAAAGAUGGAAAUACUAUUGAGUAAGGUCCAUGAAAAGUGGAAUUAUUUUUCACCUACAUAAAUGUUAAUUUUGUAAAUAAAAAAGAAGACCAUUUCAGAUUUUUUUAAAAUUGAGGCUUGAAAUGGAGUACAGUGUAUUUUGGUGGCCAGGCCUGGAUUGUGAUUAUCUAGGUACCCUAAGUAGCAAAAAGAUUAUGGUCCCUCAUCCCCAGAUAAUAAAUGUGAUGCAUUUAUUUAUUCAAUCAAAAUCUGUUUUUGAAUAUUUGCUCAGGCACUCUUCUAGGCACUGAAGACACAAUAGUUAACAAAAUGACUUUUCUUAUUAUUUUCACAUUCCAAUUAUUUAAAUCAGUACUAAUGAUAAAAGAAACAUGUGGCAAUUCAAAAAAAAAGUCGCAUUUCAGUUGAUAAAUCCUUUUUGCUUUUUUGGGAAAUAUCAAAUUAUUUUAAAAAAUUUCUGCUCUUCUUUUUGCUUCUACAUUGUGCAUGUACUUAAAUUUCAUAUUGGCUAUUAAACACUGACACCACUUCUUUUCCAAGUAUUUUUUGUUCAUUUUUCAGAUGCCACUGGUAAUUAGUUAUUUUUCUUUUAUAGUAAAAAAGCUAGUAUAUUUGUUUACCCUUUUUGAAGAAAUUGUAACUUCAUAAGCUCUAAACUGAACAACUUGAACAAAAAACUAGGGAAACUUGAUGUGGUUUUAAAAGUUAAAACCAUUAAUUGUGUUUUACUGGAGGAUGCUGCCAAUUAAUUUUGUCUGAGAUUCUUUAUUCUUAUGUUUAUAUAAUACAGUGCGUACUUUAGAGGGACAUAUCCCAGAUUUUUUUCAAUGUAAUAUCUGAUACAUACAAAAGAAUAUAUGUAAUAUAUGGUCAAAUUAUUAACCAUAACAACAAAACAAACAACAAGAAUGCAGCAUAUUAGCCUAAACACUACAUCAUUAACAAUAUUUUUAUUUGAAUUAUUUAAAGAAAAAAUAACCUUUUUUGUCGGAGACAUUUUUCCAGGUUAUACGACCCACCCCCAAAUUUUUUUUUCUUUCUUUCUUUUCUUUUUCUUUCUUUUCUUUUCUUUUCUUUUUUUUUUUUUUUUCUGAGACAGGAUCUCACUCUGUUGCCCAGGCUGGAGUGCACUUGCAUGAUCGUAUCUCACUGCAACUUUGACCUCCCUGGCUCAAAUGAUCAUCCCACCUCAGCCUCCCAAGUAGCUGGGACUACAGUAGGGUGCACUAUGCCUGGCUAAUGUUUUAAAAUUUUUGCAAAAUUUCUGGCUGUGUUGCCUCCUUAUAUUUUAUCUGAUGUCUAUACAAUAUUAGACUAGGCUAGAGUGUUGCCUUAAGGAAUAUUUCAUUUUCUACUUUUUAAAAUGCUAAAAGUAAGAUUUAUUCUGAAAUAAGUCUGAGUGUAUAGAAAAGUUGCAAGACCAGUAUAAGUGACGUUUUAUCUAAACCACUUAAAGUGAAUUAUCAAUGCUAUGCCCCAUCAUUCCCAAAUACUUCAUUCUGUAAUCCUUACAAAGACAUUCUUCUACCAACACAGUAAUGAAAAAAUUUUAAAAAACCAUUGAAACAUUACUAUCAUCUAAUUUGUAGUUCCAAUUUUUUUUGCCAAUGUCAGUGACAAAAAGUUCAAUGACAGAUUGUAUAUUUCAUUUAACUGUCACUUUAAAAAAUUAAAUAGUUUUGUUUUUAGAGUAGUUUUAGCUUCACAGCAAAAUUGAACAUAAUGUACAGAAUUCUCAAGUACCUUCAUCCUCCCCCGAUAAUCUCCUGUGCUACAACUGUUGAGAUCCUGCAACACAGUGAUGCGUUUGUUAUAAUCGAUAAACCUGCACUGAUACUCAAAGUCCGUAGUUCAUCUUAAAGUUCACUCUUGGUACUGUGAAAUCUACGAUAUUUGACAAAUGUAUAAUGACAUGUGUCCCCCUUUGUAGUAUACAGAAUAGCUUCACCACCCACAAAAAUCUGUUCUCCAUCUAUUCCUCCUCCCCUCCCACCUAACCUCUGGCACCCACUGAUCUUUUUACUGUCUCCACAGUUUUGGCUUGUCCAGAAUGUUACUUAGUUUGAAUUACAUAGUAAGUAGCCAUUUCAUAAUGGCUUUUUUCCCCCUUAGUAAUAUGUAUUUAAGUAUCCUCCAUGUCUUUUCAUGGUUUGAUAGCUCAUUUCUUUUUAGUGUUGAAUAAUAUUCCAUUGUCUGCAUGCACUCUAGUUUAUAUAUUGAUUCACUCGCUAAAGGACAUCUUGAUUGCCUCCUAGUUUUGUCAAUUAUGAAUGAAGUGGCUGUAAUCUGUGUUCAAGAUUUUGUGUAUACAUGCAUUUCCAACUCAUUUGGAUAGACACAAAGGAGUGCACUUGCUGAAUCAUAUGGUAAGAGUAUGUUUAAUUUUGUGAGAAAUUGCCAAGCUGUCUUACAAAGUGGCUGCAUGAUUUCACAUUCCCACCAGCAACAAAUGAGAAUUCCUGUAGCGCUUUGUUCUCACCAACAUUUGUGUUGUUGGUAUUUUGGAUUUUCACCAUUCCAAUAGAUGUGUAGUGGUAUCUCAGUGGUGUUUUAAUUUGCAAUUCCCUAAUAAUGUAUCAUUUCAUAUGAUUAUUUUCCAUCUAUAUCUUCUUUGUUGAGGUGUCUGUUCAGGUCUUUUGCCCAUUUUUUAAAAUUAGGUUUUUUGCUUUCUUACUAUUGAGCUUUGGGUAACCGUCCUUUACCAAAUAAGUCUUCUGCAAAUAUUUUCUCCCAGUCUGUGGCUUGUCAUCUCACUCUGCUGACUUUGUCUUCUGCACAACAGAUUCUUUUAAUUUUAAUGAGGUGCAGUUUAUUUAUUAUUUUCUUCAUAAAAUCACACUUUUGAUUUUGUAUCUAAAAAAUCAUCACCACCCCCAAAGUCAUCUGGAUUUUCUUCUGUAUUUUCUUCUAGGGUUUUAUAGUUUUGCAUUUUACAGUUUAGGUCUGUGAUCCAUUUGGAAUUAAUUUUUGUAAAGAGUAUAAUGUCUGUGUUUAGAUUUAUUUGUUUUUAACAUGUGAAUGUCCAGUUUGUGCCCAUACCAUUUGUUUUAAACCUAUAUUUUUUUUAUUGUAUUACCUUUGCCUCUUUGUCAAAGAUCAGUUGACUGUAUUUGUAUGGGCCUAUUUCUGGGCUUUCUAUUCUAUUCUCUUGGUCUGUUUGUCUCUUUUUUUUUUCUAAUACCAUACUGUCUGGAUCACAAUAACUGUACAGUAAGUCUGGAAGUUAGGUAGUGUUAAUCCUCCAGUUUUGUUUCUUUUUUUCUAUAUUGUGUUGGCUCUUCUGGAGCCUUUGUUUCUCCAUAUAAACCUUAGAAUCACUUUGUUGAUAUUCACGAAAUACCUUUCUGGGAUUUCAAUUAAAACUGCAUUUAAUGUACAGAUAAUUUUGAGAACUGGCAUCUUGACAAUAUUGAUGCUUCUAUUCAUAAACAUGCAACAUCUCUCCAUUUAUUUAGUUCUCCUUUGAUUUCUUUCAUCAGAGAUUUAUAGUUUCCCUUUAUAUAGAUGUUGUACAAACUUUGUUGGAUUUACCAAAGAAUUUCAUUUUUUGGUGCUAAUAUAAAUGAUAUUGCAAUUCUAAUUUCCAAUUCCAUUUGUUCAUUGCUGGUAUCAUAUGUUAUUUUUUAAUCUUCUUCAAACUCAGUCUCUCAGUCUUCCCUAGACUUUCAUAACUUCUACAUUUUGAAAAUUUUAUGUCAAUUAUUUAAUAGAAUAUCUCUAAAUUUAGGUUUGUCUCAUUUUUCAAUGUAAUUGGAUUCAGGUUACGCAUUUUUGAUAGAUUAGAGUGGUGCUGUGUUAUUCUUAUUGCACAGGUCUGUUGGGUUGAGUGGGGUGAGUUAAAUCAUUCCUUUUUGGCCUCUCAUAAUACUGAAUCAAGUGAAAGUUGGCCUGAGUCAUCAGAAGACUUGUCUCGGCUGAAUGUACAAGGUGCUCACUGACAUAUACAGAUCCAAAGUUGAGUCGGACUGGUCUGACUGUUGGCUGAAAGCUCACCUGGGGCUGCCAGAGGUCUUCAACCAUAGCGUCUCCACGUAACUUAAGCUUCUUAUAUCAUGUGCCUAAAUUCUGAGACAGAGGAAUAGAGAAGAGAGAAAGGAAGAGCAAGAGAGAGAAGGGGAGUUCCGAGUGUCCAUUCCAAGAAACUGAGGUGGAAACUGCAAGGCUUCUUAUACCAGAGCAUUACUUUUUGUACCAGAACAUUACUUCCAGUGUAUUCUAUCUGUAAAGCAAGUUAUAUUUAGUUCACAUCUUGAUGUGAGAAAUAGCAUUGUGUACAGGGAAAAAGAACUUGAUAGCUAUUUUUGUAGACUAUCUGAUAAAGAUGUUUCUGGGCUGAGUUAAUAAUGCUAUGUUGGCUAUUUAUUUCUGAUUUUCUAGUUCUGUCAUUUCUUCUACAUUUAUUAGUUAGUCUUUGUGUCAGUUGGGGUUCCCUAGGGAAACAGAACCAAUAGGAUAUAUCUAUAUCUUUACCUAUGUCCCAUACAGAUACACACACACACACACACACACACACACACAUCCAAUCCACACACACAUGUACAUUCAAUCUGUUGAUAGCCUGACUAGAACAAUAGGCAAAGGCAAGGGGAAAUUCGUAUCUCUACCUGACUGCUUCAGCUGAAAUAUCAAUCAGUCUCUUCCUGCCCUACACUGGGACCAACAUCAUGAGCCCUCUGGUUCCCAGAACUGUAACACUAGCUUUCCUCUUUCCGGGGUCUCCAGCUUUCAGACAGUAGAAUCAUGAGACUUCUCAGCCUCCUUAACCAUGUGAGCCAAUGCCUUAUAACAAAUAUCCUACAAACAUAUAUAUAUAAAUGUAUACAUACAAAUAUAAUAAUAUCAUACAAAUAUAUAUAUUUAUAUGUAUA